CGGCCGGCGAGGGGCGAACUCCGGGAGUUCUUCGUCGAUCCGAGGUCUCUCGUCAAGAAGGAAGCCGUGAGCGAGGAAGAGGCCACGAUUUCAAGCUCACCCGAACCCUAGAAAGUCCUUCUUUCGGCUGUGAGUCCAAGAAACCAAGAUAUAGGAAAGGAA
Long non-coding RNA from Zingiber officinale, 162 nucleotides. RefSeq lists it as uncharacterized. The record is from RefSeq and is a predicted model, not a curated record. The transcript is spliced from 3 exons. Lineage: Eukaryota; Viridiplantae; Streptophyta; Magnoliopsida; Zingiberales; Zingiberaceae.